Long non-coding RNA from Rhagoletis zephyria (snowberry fruit fly), 206 nucleotides. RefSeq lists it as uncharacterized. The record is from RefSeq and is a predicted model, not a curated record. NCBI's taxonomy places the organism in Eukaryota, Metazoa, Arthropoda, Insecta, Diptera, Tephritidae.
AUUUUUGGAAGGUAUUUGCCAUUGUGGAAGAAUACAAGUGAGAUAUCUUAGGGUUGACAAAUAGUUGACAGGGUAUUCAAUAUGGCGAUGACAGUGUGAACAAUAUGGCAUACAACACCGAAUGGCCAGAAGUUGCAAAACUACGACCCGAAUGAAACGCUUCGUGAAAAUCCAAGGUUGCCAAGUGGUUGAUGGAAAGUAUAAAA